RNAcentral lists this ribosomal RNA (256 nucleotides) under uncultured bacterium. RNAcentral's name for it is "partial 16S ribosomal RNA". It matches the Rfam family "Bacterial small subunit ribosomal RNA", at positions 524 to 776 of the family's 1533-position model. The record is from RNAcentral.
UACGUAGGUGGCGAGCGUUGUCCGGAUUUACUGGGCGUAAAGAGCGCGCAGGCGGCUGGUCAAGUCCGAUGUGAAAGCUCCCGGCUUAACUGGGAAAUUGCAUCGGAAACUGAUCGGCUGGAAGGUGGGAGAGGGUAGCGGAAUUCCCGGUGUAGUGGUGAAAUGCGUAGAUAUAUGGAAGAACACCAAUAACGGCGAAGGCAGUUAACUAUUCUGUUACUGACAUUGAGGCACGAAAGCGUGGGGAGCAAAACGG